RNAcentral lists this ribosomal RNA (430 nucleotides) under uncultured bacterium. RNAcentral's name for it is "partial 16S ribosomal RNA". It matches the Rfam family "Bacterial small subunit ribosomal RNA", at positions 354 to 796 of the family's 1533-position model. The record is from RNAcentral.
GUGGGGAAUAUUGGACAAUGGGCGCAAGCCUGAUCCAGCAACGCCGCGUGAGGGAUGACGGCCUUCGGGUUGUAAACCUCUUUCAGCAGGGACGAAGCGAAAGUGACGGUACCUGCAGAAGAAGGACCGGCCAACUACGUGCCAGCAGCCGCGGUAAUACGUAGGGUCCGAGCGUUGUCCGGAAUUAUUGGGCGUAAAGGGCUCGUAGGCGGUCUGUCGCGUCGGGAGUGAAAACUCAGGGCUCAACCCUGAGCGUGCUUCCGAUACGGGCAGACUAGAGGUAUGCAGGGGAGAACGGAAUUCCUGGUGUAGCGGUGGAAUGCGCAGAUAUCAGGAGGAACACCGGUGGCGAAGGCGGUUCUCUGGGCAUUACCUGACGCUGAGGAGCGAAAGCAUGGGGAGCGAACAGGAUUAGAUACCCGGGUAGUCC